Molecule: ribosomal RNA, 382 nt
Filed under: uncultured Katablepharidophyta
Lineage: Eukaryota; Cryptophyceae; Kathablepharidacea
Description: partial small subunit ribosomal RNA
Rfam family: Eukaryotic small subunit ribosomal RNA
Source: RNAcentral
GCUUGUCUCAAAGAUUAAGCCAUGCAUGUCUUAGUGUAAAUAACUCUUAUGAAACUGCGAAUGGCUCAUUAAAUCAGUUAUCAAAUACGUGAUGGUCGCCUACUACAUGGAUAACCGUAGUAAUUCUAGAGCUAAUACAUGCACAAAAUCCCGACUUACGAAGGGAUGUAUUUAUUAGAUACAAACCAACAUCGUGGUGAUUCAUAAUAACUUUGCGAAUCGUAUGCCUCACGGCGACGAUGAAUCAUUCAAAUUUCUGCCCUAUCAGCUUUCGACGGUAGUGUAGUGGACUACCGUGGCGCUAACGGGUGACGGAGAAUUAGGGUUCGGUUCCGGAGAGGGAGCCUGAGAAACGGCUACCACAUCCAAGGAAGGCAGCAGG